RNAcentral lists this ribosomal RNA (382 nucleotides) under Clostridioides difficile. RNAcentral describes it as "bacterial SSU rRNA". It matches the Rfam family "Bacterial small subunit ribosomal RNA", at positions 869 to 1250 of the family's 1533-position model. Lineage: Bacteria; Bacillati; Bacillota; Clostridia; Peptostreptococcales; Peptostreptococcaceae. The record is from RNAcentral.
CCGCCUGGGAAGUACGCUCGCAAGAGUGAAACUCAAAGGAAUUGACGGGGACCCGAACAAGUAGCGGAGCAUGUGGUUUAAUUCGAAGCAACGCGAAGAACCUUACCUAAGCUUGACAUCCCAAUGAUAUCUCCUUAAUCGGAGAGUUCCCUUCGGGGACAUUGGUGACAGGUGGUGCAUGGUUGUCGUCAGCUCGUGUCGUGAGAUGUUGGGUUAAGUCCCGCAACGAGCGCAACCCUUGUCUUUAGUUGCCAUCAUUAAGUUGGGCACUCUAGAGAGACUGCCAGGGAUAACCUGGAGGAAGGUGGGGAUGACGUCAAAUCAUCAUGCCCCUUAUGCUUAGGGCUACACACGUGCUACAAUGGGUAGUACAGAGGGUUGC